Molecule: non-coding RNA, 200 nt
Filed under: Enterococcus devriesei
Lineage: Bacteria; Bacillati; Bacillota; Bacilli; Lactobacillales; Enterococcaceae
Description: T-box sequence
Rfam family: T-box leader
About the family: Uncharged tRNA acts as the effector for transcription antitermination of genes in the T-box leader family. T-boxes are found upstream of many aminoacyl-tRNA synthetase genes and some amino acid biosynthetic genes usually in Gram-positive bacteria.
Source: RNAcentral
GUAAACACAUAGAAGAGAAGAAGUAGCAACGAAGGAUUUUUCAGAGAGACUGCGGCCGGUGCAAGCAGUCAAGUCAACCGUUGUGAAAUGCAUCUCGGAGUGGCCUUAGCGAUACGUAGCUAAGGACGAUUCACAGACGUUACCUGUUUCAAGGCAAGCAAUUGCAAACAAAAGUGGGACCACGUCUAAGCGUCUUUUGA